RNAcentral lists this ribosomal RNA (409 nucleotides) under Actinomycetes bacterium. RNAcentral describes it as "Actinobacteria bacterium partial 16S ribosomal RNA". It matches the Rfam family "Bacterial small subunit ribosomal RNA", at positions 355 to 776 of the family's 1533-position model. Lineage: Bacteria; Bacillati; Actinomycetota; Actinomycetes. The record is from RNAcentral.
UGGGGAAUAUUGCACAAUGGGCGGAAGCCUGAUGCAGCGACGCCGCGUGGGGGAUGAAGGCCUUCGGGUUGUAAACUCCUUUCGACAGGGACGAAGCUUUUGUGACGGUACCUGUAUAAGAAGCACCGGCUAACUACGUGCCAGCAGCCGCCGUAAUACGUAGGGUGCGAGCGUUGUACGGAAUUACUGGGCGUAAAGAGCUCGUAGGUGGUUUGUCGCGUCGUCUGUGAAAUUCCGGGGCUUAACUCCGGGCGUGCAGGCGAUACGGGCUGACUUGAGUGCUGUAGGGGAGAAUGGAAUUCCUGGUGUAGCGGGGAAAUGCGGAGUUAUCAGGAGGAACACCGAUGGCGAAGGCAGGUCUCUGGGCAGUAACUGACGCUGAGGAGCGAAAGCAUGGGUAGCGAACAGG